AGCCAAUCAAAUGUGAUUUUCAGCUAACUUCCCAGCAUUCCUCAGGGCAGAAAAUUGUUCCUUGAAUUCUGUGAUGAUGGUCAGUGCCCAACAUGGCCAGGCUUAGCGGGAAAUCUUGUGUUCACAAAGUGCCUGAGUCAGUAUAUCUCAGUGUUUUAGAAAGUGAGACUGGAUGUGGUUUGCGGAGAGGAUGAUAUCCUAGGAUUAUCC
Molecule: non-coding RNA, 210 nt
Organism: Pelobates cultripes (western spadefoot toad)
Lineage: Eukaryota; Metazoa; Chordata; Amphibia; Anura; Pelobatidae
Source: the annotation of a GenBank genome assembly